Molecule: long non-coding RNA, 744 nt
Organism: Sycon ciliatum
Lineage: Eukaryota; Metazoa; Porifera; Calcarea; Leucosolenida; Sycettidae
Exons: 2
Source: RefSeq, a predicted model, not a curated record
UAAGUAUGGCUUAUCCGAAGGAGAAUUGGGCACUGAUUCCGAUGAGCUAUGUCUCGAGCCGAUCAGAGAAGAGGAACCGUGUCAAAUUUCAUAAAUAACACCUUCCAUAUUUGGAAAAUGGGCUUGAUGACGUGCGUACUGCUUAGCUGUCACCAUGCUGUGCAUGCUCAGCAGUGUAAUUGAAUGGAAGAAAACAAUUACUUUGGUGUUUUGCAGCUCUAUUUCGUUCCCUGACGGUACCCAAAUCUAGAUGUAGGAAUCUGUUGAGCAGGAGAGUGACACAUGUCUUCCCGAAGGCUGUCCAGCCUGCAGUGGUGAUGAAGAAGACACGAAUAACACCCCAAGAUCGAUUGUAGCGAAUUGAAAAACUCAUGGUGAAUUUGCUUCCACUCCAAGGCAAUGUCGAGGUAUGAAGGGUGCUUGUGCUGCCUUCCAAAGUGAAGCGGAGAUGAACAUGGCUUUGCAUAGCUGUUGUUCUACGCCAACUUACCUACUCUUGCUUCUACCGUAGUGGUAUAUUGCAAAUUUCGUGGACGAACAAUUUGAGUCACUAGUGGCUAGUGAGCAACACUAACAGAGCCUUGACGUUGCUGGACGAGCGACAAUAUAAAUUACAUAAACGUGUAGCUCAUAAUGUGGGAUGACUGCCGUAUUGCAUUGCCAACGCAAACCCAUCCUGUGUCAGUGCAGCCAUCCAGCAACGUACUCCCCGGACCAGAUGCCGCUGCAGCUGAACACCAUGCC